Molecule: long non-coding RNA, 222 nt
Organism: Mauremys reevesii (Reeves's turtle)
Lineage: Eukaryota; Metazoa; Chordata; Testudines; Geoemydidae
Exons: 3
Source: RefSeq, a predicted model, not a curated record
CCCAUCUGUGUGAUCUGCAGAGAGUCCCGGGCUCACCGCGCUCACAUGGUGGUCCCCAUCCAGGAGGCUGCCCAGGAGUACAAGGAAAGAAUCCAGGCCCAUUUGAAAACUCUGAGGGAAGAGAGAGAAAAGCUGCUGGGAUUGAAAGCGACGGGAGAGAGGAAUUGCCGGGAAUAUCUGAAACAAACACAAACCGAGAGGCAGAAGAUUGUGUCUGAAUUU